AUGAACGCUGGCGGCGUGCCUAAUACCUGCAAGUCGAGCGAACAGACGAGGAGCUUGCUCCUCUGACGUUAGCGGCGGCCGGGUGAGUAACACGUGGAUAACCUACCUAUAAGACUGGGAUAACUUCGGGAAACCGGAGCUAAUACCGGACAAUAUAUUGAACCGCAUGGUUCAAUAGUGAAAGACGGUUUUGCUGUCACUUAUAGAUGGAUCCGCGCCGCAUUAGCUAGUUGGUAAGGUAACGGCUUACCAAGGCAACGAUGCGUAGCCGACCUGAGAGGGUGAUCAGCCACACUGGAACUGAGACACGGUCCAGACUCCUACGGGAGGCAGCAGUAGGGAAUCUUCCACAAUGGGCGAAAGCCUGACGGAGCAACGCCGCGUGAGUGAUGAAGGUCUUCGGAUCGUAAAACUCUGUUGUUAGGGAAGAACAAAUGUGUAAGUAACUAUGCACGUCUUGACGGUACCUGAUCAGAAAGCCACGGCUAACUACGUG
This 496-nucleotide ribosomal RNA is filed under the name uncultured bacterium. RNAcentral describes it as "partial 16S ribosomal RNA". It matches the Rfam family "Bacterial small subunit ribosomal RNA", at positions 29 to 507 of the family's 1533-position model. The record is from RNAcentral.